RNA transcript from Selaginella moellendorffii, 2586 nucleotides. It is a transcript of the gene named armadillo repeat-containing protein 6, with no coding region annotated. The transcript is spliced from 10 exons. The record is from RefSeq and is a predicted model, not a curated record. NCBI's taxonomy places the organism in Eukaryota, Viridiplantae, Streptophyta, Lycopodiopsida, Selaginellales, Selaginellaceae.
CGAUGGCUCCACCUCCUCGCAAGGCGCAAAUCUCACAGGAGGCAUUCGACGCCGCGGUGCGAGAGAAUGUGGAAGAUUUUGAGAUGGAGGAGGGUGAGGCGAUCGCUGAUGCGGUGCACACAUUCCAGCUACAAGGCGUCGAUCUCACAGGGAUUAUCACCGACGGGCGCGGCAAAGAAGAGCAUCCUGUGAUCCUAGCGGUCAAAGACCUGAAACUGGCCGUGGACGACAAUGCUGGUAUGGAUCGUCUCUGCGAAGCGCUCGAUAAGCUGAGGCUGGCCUCUGCCGGUGAGAACGCUUCCAUUGCGGUGAGAAAUGGCGCUGUUGAGAAUGCUGUGUUGGCUUGCAAGCUUUUGAUUGAUGAAAACAACGCUUCAUACGUUUCCACAGCGAUGAAGACGCUUCUCUCUCUCUUGAAUGACGAGCAGUCCAAGAAGGAUUUCUUCUCCUCCAGUGGAUGUGAUGUGAUCCUAAAUUUUCUAUCGAGACACGAUGACUCCAGUGAGAUUUCAAUGCUCUCAGCAGCAGUGAUCGCGUCAUCAGCAUCAGGAUCCGAGAUGCUUAAGGAGGAGUUCAUGCAUUUAAAAGCGGAUGAGAAGCUUAUAAAAAUUCUGAGGCGCUACGUAGAGAAUGCUGAAGUACUAAGCAGUGCUUGUGACGCGUUGAAAGCAUUGGUGUCUCCCGACGAUAGUAACGUGUUAGCUUCAAACGCCUUUAAAAACGCCAGAACAAUAUGGAAAGCAGGAGGUGUGAACGCUGUUUUGGAGACGGCUUCAUCCAACCGAAAAGAUCCUACACUGUUGGUGACACUUUGUGCGACAUUGAAAGCUAUGGCAGUGAAUGAAGAGAUCUGUAAAUCAAUCACGGGGGAUAAUGGACUUGAGCUAACUUUGGAGUUCGUGGACGAAUCUGCAAAAAUGCCAAACAAGCUCUUGGCUAAGAAUGCGUGCUCACUGAUAACGCAGCUGGCAUUAAGUGAUGCCAACAAAGAUGCCAUUGUUUUGCAAGGAGGAUGUCAAAAACUCGUUACGCUAGCUUCGUGCUAUUCAGAAGACGUUUCGGUGAUUCAAGAGGUGAUGUCUGCUAUUGCUUCCAUAACGUUGAGAUCCCCUUCAAAUGCUACCAAAGCAGUCGAGGCUGGCGCGAUUGACUUAGCGGUGGAGAUGAUGGACAAGCACCCGCAGGCCCCAGGCAUGCAAAAGCAAACGUGUCACAUGCUGCGAAAUCUAGCGUCACGGAAUCCCGAGAACAGGGCGCUGAUACUGGAAAGGGGCCUUGAGAAGCUGAUAAGAGCAGCCAAAUCCAGGCAUGCCAGCUGCAAAGACGCAUCCUCUGCUGCGUUGCGAGACCUGGGCCUGGACAAUUACAAUUAGAGAAAGAGAUGGGCAAAGUAGACAAACAGAUUCUUAGCGUUCCACAUCAACCGGUCGAGGAGAAGAUGAGAAAAUUCCGCCAGGAAGCAUCUCCGCGGGAGGGGUGCGUCAAACACCAACAACUUGGACGGACGUAUGUCAACUCGACUCCCGUGUCCAACACUUUGGCGGGGAAAAGGCGGGUGGACGGAGCUACUAGACAAAAGCCGCAACACCAAAGCAACACGAAAAGGCUGAGGAGGUAAAUAAGAGAGGGGAAGAGCAAGAAGAUCCCAACCAAGACAAGCUAACCAUGGAUAGAUGGAUGGACCACACAAAAAGUUCGCCGCAGUGACGUGCGAAGGCCCCCCCCUGACCCCAACAGGUAAAUGUGUGGGACUGGGAGAACAACACAGCGACAACGAACUCGCCGCUCGCACGCACGUACACGUACGCAUCGCCUCAACUUGUCCUCCCCGGCCGGAACCACUCAAUCUAGAUGGAUUUGAACCAGCAACCACCGGAUCGAUUGAGUGAUGGAGAUGAACAAUUGCCUCACCGCAGCAGCAAUCCGUGAGUUAACGCUGGUUUAGUUUCAUCUUUCCUGCUUUUAAAUACGUUUUUGCGUUGCAGAGCAUUCAAUGGCGCUUUCUUUUUUCUCGCGGCCCGAUUGCGAUGUCGAGAAAGGAGCUGCCGAGCGAGAAAGCGCUCUCAUCCUCACCCAGCUCGCUCAGCAAAAACGCAAUCCAGGCCAGCGACCAUCAACGAUCGAGACGACAACACUAUCAGCACCUUUACAGCGCUGCCGAGCGACCUUUACGUCUAUCUCGCGCACACACAAACACACCGGCUCAAAUUAUGCGGACAAGAGACCACUUAAACCUCCAUCCCCAACUGUGACUUCUCCGGCACCAAUCUCGCGCGCAGCACGGCUCUCAUCAUCAUAAAUCAGCUCUACUUUCAAUGGUAGUUGGCAGCAGCUGACAGAGAUUCUGUGCGCUAUCUAUGAUCACCAACAUCAACGCCACCCCACGCAAUUAUCGCUGCCAUCCCAAAAGAGCGACUCGCUGCCCUGCCCGGACGACUCUGCUAGAACAGACUGCCAAAAGCAACAAAGACGCAGAGGAAGAGGAGUGAAUCAAACGAAUGCCUCAUUGCUUGCUUGGCAUUGCAGCACUGCUCCAUCCAGGUAUAUUGGCUCUCUAGAAAACCACCUCUCUUUUUUCCCGGCUCC